This 479-nucleotide ribosomal RNA is filed under the name uncultured bacterium. RNAcentral's name for it is "bacterial SSU rRNA". It matches the Rfam family "Bacterial small subunit ribosomal RNA", at positions 28 to 509 of the family's 1533-position model. The record is from RNAcentral.
GAUGAACGCUAGCGGCAGGCUUAACACAUGCAAGUCGAGGGGUAUUGGUUUUCGGACCAAGAGACCGGCGCACGGGUGCGUAACGCGUAUGCAAUCUACCUUUUGCAGAGGGAUAGCCCCAGAGAAAUUUGGAUUAAUACCUCAUAGUAUAGUACUUUGGCAUCAAGGAACUAUUAAAGUCACAACGGCAAAAGAUGAGCAUGCGUCCCAUUAGCUAGUUGGUAAGGUAACGGCUUACCAAGGCUACGAUGGGUAGGGGUCCUGAGAGGGAGAUCCCCCACACUGGUACUGAGACACGGACCAGACUCCUACGGGAGGCAGCAGUGAGGAUAUUGGACAAUGGGCGGCAAGCCUGAUCCAGCCAUGCCGCGUGCAGGAUGACGGUCCUAUGGAUGUAAACUGCUUUGUACAGGAAGAAACACUACUUCGUGAAGUAGCUUGACGGUACUGUAAGAAUAAGGAUCGGCUAACUCCGUGCC